GGCUCUGUGGCGCAAUGGAUAGCGCAUUGGACAAAUUGGACUUCUAGGCUGUGAGCUGAGCCAUUCAAAGGUUGUGGGUUCGAGUCCCACCAGAGUUG
Molecule: non-coding RNA, 98 nt
Organism: Danio rerio (zebrafish)
Lineage: Eukaryota; Metazoa; Chordata; Actinopteri; Cypriniformes; Danionidae
Source: Rfam